AAUAUUGCACAAUGGAGGAAACUCUGAUGCAGCGACGCCGCGUGAACGACGAAGGCCUUCGGGUCGUAAAGUUCUGUCCUAGGGGACGAUAAUGACGGUACCCUAGGAGGAAGCCCCGGCUAACUACGUGCCAGCAGCCGCGGUAAUACGUAGGGGGCUAGCGUUGUCCGGAUUUACUGGGCGUAAAGGGUGAGUAGGCGGUAACGUGUGUCAGAUGUUUAAUCUAUGGGCUCAACCCAUAUCAGCAUUUGAAACUACGUAACUUGAGUGCAGGAGAGGUAAGUGGAAUUCCUAGUGUAGCGGUGGAAUGCGUAGAUAUUAGGAGGAACACCAGUGGCGAAGGCGACUUACUGGACUGCAACUGACGCUGAGUCACGAAAGCGUGGGGAGCAAACAGG
Molecule: ribosomal RNA, 398 nt
Filed under: uncultured bacterium
Lineage: Bacteria
Description: partial 16S ribosomal RNA
Rfam family: Bacterial small subunit ribosomal RNA
Source: RNAcentral